GUAUUGAUUGCGUGUGACCGCAAAAAUAACAUUCUACACUGUAUCAAGUUUUGUGUGAAAACGUGAGCCCUCCUGCAAAGGGGACCCACGCGGUGAUGCACAAAGGGGUAAGAUGGAUAUUUGUAUGUGAGAGGACUCGGGCGUGCACGACAAAAAAAAGCCAGCAACAACCCUCGUACCCCCAUUGUACGAUAAUGAUCCUUCCGCAGGUUCACCUACGGAAA
This 224-nucleotide unclassified non-coding RNA is filed under the name uncultured fungus. RNAcentral's name for it is "sequence contains ITS1". Lineage: Eukaryota; Fungi. The record is from RNAcentral.